AAUCAACGCUGGCGGCGUGCCUAACACAUGCAAGUCGAACGCGAAAGUGGAGCAAUCCAUGAGUAGAGUGGCGAACGGGUGAGUAACACGUGGGUGACCUACCUUCGAAUGGGGGAUAACGUCCCGAAAGGGACGCUAAUACCGCAUAACAUCCUGCCUUUGAAGAGGUGGAGAUCAAAGCUGGGGAUCGCAAGACCUGGCGUUUGAAGAGGGGCCCGCGUCUGAUUAGCUAGUUGGUGAGGUAACGGCCCACCAAGGCGACGAUCAGUAUCCGGCCUGAGAGGGCGGACGGACACACUGGGAUUGAGACACGGCCCAGACUCCUACGGGAGGCAGCAGUGGGGAAUUGUUCGCAAUGGGCGCAAGCCUGACGACGCAACGCCGCGUGGAGGAUGAAGGUCUUCGGAUUGUAAACUCCUGUUGCUCGGGACGAAAUGCUCUGACCUAACACGUCAGAGUUUGACGGUACCGGGUGAGGAAGCCCCGGCUAACUCUGUGC
This 499-nucleotide ribosomal RNA is filed under the name uncultured bacterium. RNAcentral describes it as "bacterial SSU rRNA". It matches the Rfam family "Bacterial small subunit ribosomal RNA", at positions 32 to 508 of the family's 1533-position model. The record is from RNAcentral.